Molecule: ribosomal RNA, 406 nt
Filed under: uncultured bacterium
Lineage: Bacteria
Description: partial 16S ribosomal RNA
Rfam family: Bacterial small subunit ribosomal RNA
Source: RNAcentral
AUUGAACGCUGGCGGCAGGCCUAACACAUGCAAGUCGAACGAGUGGCGGACGGGUGAGUAACGUCUGGGAAACUGCCCGAAGGAGGGGGACAACUACUGGAAACGGUAGCUAUUACCGCAUAUCAUCGUAUGCGCCCAGCUGGGAUUAGCUAGUAGGUGGGGUCACGACUCACCUAGGCGACGAUCCCUAGCUGGUCUGAGAGGAUGACCGUCCCCACUAGAGCUGAUACGCAGUCCAGGAUCCUACGGGAUGCCGCAGAUGAGGAUAUUGCGCACGAGGCGCAAGCCUGAUGCAACCGUGCCACGGGUAUGGCGAAGGCCUUCGGGUUGUGAUGUACUUUCAGGGAGGAGGCGUUACUCGCAGAAGAAGCACCGGCUAACUCCGUGCCAGCAGCCGCGGUAAUAC